GGAAUUUUGGACAAUGGGCGAAAGCCUGAUCUAGCCAUGCCGCGUGAGUGACGAAGGCCCUAGGGUCGUACAGCUCUUUCGCCAGGGAUGAUAAUGACAGUACCUGGUAAAGAAACCCCGGCUAACUCCGUUCCAGCAGCCGCGGUAAUACGGAGGGGGUUAGCGUUGUUCGGAAUUACUGGGCGUAAAGCGCGCGUAGGCGGAUUGGAAAGUUGGGGGUGAAAUCCCGGGGCUCAACCCCGGAACUGCCUCCAAAACUAUCAGUCUAGAGUUCGAGAGAGGCGAGUGGAAUUCCGAGUGUAGAGGUGAAAUUCGUAGAUAUUCGGAGGAACACCAGUGGCGAAGGCGGCUCACUGGCUCGAUACUGACGCUGAGGUGCGAAAGUGUGGGGAGCA
Molecule: ribosomal RNA, 395 nt
Filed under: uncultured bacterium
Lineage: Bacteria
Description: bacterial SSU rRNA
Rfam family: Bacterial small subunit ribosomal RNA
Source: RNAcentral